Molecule: ribosomal RNA, 912 nt
Filed under: uncultured bacterium
Lineage: Bacteria
Description: bacterial SSU rRNA
Rfam family: Bacterial small subunit ribosomal RNA
Source: RNAcentral
CAUGCAGUCGAACGAGAGAAGAGAAGCUUGCUUUUCUGAUCUAGUGGCGGACGGGUGAGUAACACGUGAGCAAUCUGCCUUUCAGAGGGGGAUACCGAUUGGAAACGAUCGUUAAUACCGCAUAAUAUAAUUGAACCGCAUGAUUUGAUUAUCAAAGAUUUAUCGCUGAAAGAUGAGCUCGCGUCUGAUUAGCUAGUUGGUAAGGUAACGGCUUACCAAGGCGACGAUCAGUAGCCGGACUGAGAGGCUGAUCGGCCACAUUGGGACUGAGACACGGCCCAGACUCCUACGGGAGGCAGCAGUGGGGAAUAUUGCACAAUGGAGGAAACUCUGAUGCAGCGAUGCCGCGUGAGGGAAGAAGGUUUUAGGAUUGUAAACCUCUGUCUUCAGGGACGAAAAAUGACGGUACCUGAGGAGGAAGCUCCGGCUAACUACGUGCCAGCAGCCGCGGUAAUACGUAGGGAGCGAGCGUUGUCCGGAAUUACUGGGUGUAAAGGGAGCGUAGGCGGGAUCGCAAGUCAGAUGUGAAAACUAUGGGCUUAACCCAUAAACUGCAUUUGAAACUGUGGUUCUUGAGUGAAGUAGAGGUAAGCGGAAUUCCUAGUGUAGCGGUGAAAUGCGUAGAUAUUAGGAGGAACAUCAGUGGCGAAGGCGGCUUACUGGGCUUUAACUGACGCUGAGGCUCGAAAGCGUGGGGAGCAAACAGGAUUAGAUACCCUGGUAGUCCACGCCGUAAACGAUGAUUACUAGGUGUGGGGGGACUGACCCCUUCCGUGCCGCAGCAAACGCAAUAAGUAAUCCACCUGGGGAGUACGACCGCAAGGUUGAAACUCAAAGGAAUUGACGGGGGCCCGCACAAGCAGUGGAGUAUGUGGAUUAAUUCGAAGCAACGCGAAGAACCUUACCAGGUCU